UACAGAGGGGGCGAGCGUUAUUCGGAAUUAUUGGGCGUAAAGGGCGCGUAGGCGGCUUUGCAAGUGACGGGUGAAAGCCCUCGGCUUAACCGAGGAACUGCCUGUCAGACUGUGAGGCUUGAGACCGGGAGAGGUGAGUGGAAUUCCCAGUGUAGCGGUGAAAUGCGUAGAUAUUGGGAGGAACACCAGUGGCGAAGGCGGCUCACUGGACCGGUACUGACGCUGAGGCGCGAAAGCGUGGGGAGCAAACAGG
This 253-nucleotide ribosomal RNA is filed under the name uncultured bacterium. RNAcentral's name for it is "partial 16S ribosomal RNA". It matches the Rfam family "Bacterial small subunit ribosomal RNA", at positions 524 to 776 of the family's 1533-position model. The record is from RNAcentral.